Long non-coding RNA from Homo sapiens (human), 1557 nucleotides. Ensembl annotates it as long intergenic non-protein coding RNA 2488. Lineage: Eukaryota; Metazoa; Chordata; Mammalia; Primates; Hominidae. The record is from Ensembl.
AGUUCAGUUUUAUUGGUUGCACGCACAGUCAGUUAUUUCAUCCAGAAAAUCUGAAGGCCCUACAAACUAACCAGGCAGAAGCUGUAUGCUAUGGAUUUUUCUGAUCAUUUCAUGCUGAGCUCAGGGGAGGGACUCUAAACUUGGAUGGGAACAAUGAUGAUGACUUUGGAAACUGCAUCUUGAACAAGGCAAACGUCCUUCAGCUGGUCCCUGGUCCCCUGAGGUCUCCUUCACCUGAAUCCUGCUUCUCUGCCUUUUCAUGAAAGAAUAUUAUAUGAGCAAGAAAUAAACUUCUAUUGAAUUAGCUUCUAAUUUGAGGCCCAUAGAUCUCCAAGGGGUCUGUAGAUUGAAUUCAAGGGGUCUGUGAACUUGGAAUGGGAAAAAUAUGAUUUUUACUAAUGUCUUUCUUACCUCAAUUUAGCAUUUUCUUUUGUUAUGAGUAUAAACAACAAACCAGUCGCAUUAGCAGUACCUAUGAAAAGUAUUUUUGUAUCACAUUACAAUUGUAACAAAUAUCUGAAAUUUAAUUCAUACUCAUCAAGAUUUUAAAAAUAUAGUAGUAAUGAACCUGCUGGUAUAUUUUAUUUGAUGUUUUAAUAAAUAAGCAUCUUUAUUAUUAUAUCAUAAAUUAUUUUAAUACUUUAGCACUGCAUUUCAAUGUAAUUAGUUUCUUUUGAAACUUUAAAAAUUUUCUUUCAUGUAUUUAAAAACACUAUUUUGAUGAUGUGUACACAUGGGCAUAGAGAGUAAAAUAAUAAAGGUUGGAGACUCAGAAAAGUGGGAGAGUGGCAGGGGGAUGAUGGAUGAGAAAUUACCAGGUACAAUGUAUAUUAUUUGGGUUAUAUUACACUAAAAACCCAGGCUUUACCACCACACAAUAUAUCCAUGUAACAAAACUGCACUUGUACCCCUUAAAUCUAUAAAAAUAAAAAAUAUAUAAAAUACAAAGAAAUAAAAAAUUAUUUUGAGAAGGGAUUCUAAGCUUCACCAGACUGCUAACAUGGCCCUGGUAUAAAAAGUUUACAAAUGCUUGUUUCUAUUAUAUUUGAGCCAUUUUACAAUUUGGGAUAUUUUUGUUAUAUCUUUUAACAUCACCCUAAUUUAUAGAAGUAAUGAAUGUUAUUGCUGGGGAUUUGAGUGUUGGUCAUUACAUAUACAUGAAUUUAUACACAAAUCCUGCGAGGAUAUAAUAUUUAUUGCAAAUGUUUUUACCAGUCAUUCUUUGUCGUAAUUUGUAUAAGACAAAUUAAGUUUGAUGUAUAAUAUUCAACUGUGUUGAUAUGGUCAAAUCUAUGAAUCUCACUUAUGUGAUUUUCAUAUUGCUUUCCCACUUAAAAAAUUCUUUCCCAACCAAAAAUCAGUUGCAAGGUGUUAAAACCAUUCACCUAGGUGUCAUUGUGCAGCUGCACACGACUUGGGCAACCAUAUCUAGCAUUCCCAAUUUGUUAAAUACUUACCUAUACAUUUUAUUUGCAUUUAAUUAUUUCAUCUACUUGGAAUAUAUUUCAAUCCCUGUUGUGAGAUGAAUAAAAAUGAUGGAUAUUCUUUCUAACACCA